UUUUGCGGGGAAAUUGUUAUUUAUACAAUGAUUUUUAUUAAGGUAUUAUGCUCUUCCUAUCGCCAUACAGGUAGAGAAUAUCCCGAGGUUAUAAUGAACGAAAUAUCACGACAGUAAUUUAAGUGCCGGAAAGGUUAAUUAAAGCUAUGCCUCACUUCCGGAAUGGCACCUCGGGGCUUCUAUAGUAACAAUAUCGGCACGUAAGGCAUGCGCAGUGAACAGAUCCGGUUGCAAAUUCUACUUAAGUGUGAAACGAACAAAACGGAUUAUUAUUAUUUUUUUCUUUUUUAAUUAAAAAAAAAAGGGGGGGAAAGAUUUUUCGUAUUAUAUUAUUAGUGUUUAAAGAUUUAUUAAUGUUUUCUUCUUCUUCCUCCUCCUCCUCCUCUUUUCUUUCCAUUUUUGUAUAUUAUUUAUAUAUAAAAGUAUUGUUGCUGUGUUGUGAAAAGCGAAUUCGUUUGUUUCCCGAUAUUGCGUGCGAAUCGUAACACGUGAGACGGAUAAAAGGGAGGGUGGAGGCGUGUUUCGGUUAACUGUCGCUAGGAGGCAUGACGCUGGAGAUGUGUAGAAGGGAUUUUUACAACGCGACUUUACGAUGUGUUUGACGGGUGAUUUUACGAUCUGUUGGUGAACUCCUACAGACGUAAAAAUACUCAAUGGUUGAUGACGUCACGCACUCACGCUCGUUCGGUCCGAAAGCUGUUAACAAAACAACUGCGCUUCCUUGGCAACCAACGUGUAACACGUUACCAUGCCAACUGCACGUUCCCAGCACGUGCGCUGUCGAUUUCAUCUGUUGCCUAUGGUCGUCAUGGUAACGCUACUUCUCGCUUCACUUACUAGAUGGCGUCCACGUCUGUUAAAAAAAAAAA
Centruroides sculpturatus (bark scorpion) is the source of this 869-nucleotide long non-coding RNA. RefSeq lists it as uncharacterized. NCBI's taxonomy places the organism in Eukaryota, Metazoa, Arthropoda, Arachnida, Scorpiones, Buthidae. The record is from RefSeq and is a predicted model, not a curated record. The transcript has 2 exons.